GAUGAACGCUGGCGGCGUGCCUAAUACAUGCAAGUCGAGCGAACAGGCGAGGCGCUUGCUCCUCUCUCGUUAGCGGCAGACGGGUGAGUCACACGUGGAUACCCUACCUAUAAGACUGGGAUAACUUCGGGACACCGGAGCUAAUCCCGGAUAAUAUAUUGAACCGCGGGGUUCAAUAGUGAAAUACGGUUUUGGUGUCUCUUCUCGCUGGAUCCCCGCCGCAUUGGCUAGUUGGUAAGGUAAAGGCUUACCAAGGCGACGAUGCGUAGCCGACCUGAGAGGGUGAUCGGCCACACUGGAACUGAGACACGGUCCAGACUCCUACGGGAGGCAGCAGUAGGGAAUCUUCCGCAAUGGGCGAAAGCCUGACGGAGCAACGCCGCGUGAGUUAUGAAGGUCUUCGGAUCGUAAAACUCUGUUAUCAGGGAAGAACAAAUGUGUAAGUAACUAUGCACGUCUUGACGGUACCUAAUCAGAAAGCCACGGCUAACUACGUG
RNAcentral lists this ribosomal RNA (497 nucleotides) under uncultured bacterium. Its description in RNAcentral is "partial 16S ribosomal RNA". It matches the Rfam family "Bacterial small subunit ribosomal RNA", at positions 28 to 507 of the family's 1533-position model. The record is from RNAcentral.